UUAAAUGCUUUUUUAAAAGCAAUAAAAAUUAAAAAGGACUGGAUUU
Molecule: non-coding RNA, 46 nt
Organism: Erinaceus europaeus (western European hedgehog)
Lineage: Eukaryota; Metazoa; Chordata; Mammalia; Eulipotyphla; Erinaceidae
Source: Rfam